UGAACAGCUCUGAAGAGGAUGACACCGAGGGAUUCUCGGAGAGAGGGCUCACCAGUCUGGCCCAGCUGGGGCCAACCUCAGUGUUGCCAGGCUUCUGGUGCCAGCGCCUUCCCUCGAAGUAAAGGCCUGCUGGGAUUGGUAA
Molecule: small RNA, 142 nt
Filed under: Pongo abelii (Sumatran orangutan)
Lineage: Eukaryota; Metazoa; Chordata; Mammalia; Primates; Hominidae
Description: processed transcript
Source: RNAcentral